RNAcentral lists this ribosomal RNA (443 nucleotides) under uncultured Anaerolineaceae bacterium. Its description in RNAcentral is "bacterial SSU rRNA". It matches the Rfam family "Bacterial small subunit ribosomal RNA", at positions 925 to 1382 of the family's 1533-position model. Lineage: Bacteria; Bacillati; Chloroflexota; Anaerolineae; Anaerolineales; Anaerolineaceae. The record is from RNAcentral.
ACAAGCAGCGGAGCGUGUGGUUUAAUUCGAUGAUACACGAAGAACCUUACCCAGGCUUGACAUGUUGGUGGUAGGGAUCCGAAAGGUGACCGACCUUCGGGGAGCCUUCACAGGUGCUGCAUGGCUGUCGUCAGCUCGUGUCGUGAGAUGUCCGGUUAAGUCCGGUAACGAGCGCAACCCUCGCUGUGUGUUAUAUGUGUCACACGGGACUGCCGGUAUCAAGCCGGAGGAAGGUGGGGAUGACGUCAAGUCAGCAUGGCCUUUAUGUCUGGGGCUACACACACGCUACAAUGGCCAGUACAAUAGGUUGCAAGACCGCGAGGUGGAGCCAAUCCUUAAAGCUGGUCUCAGUUCGGAUUGCAGGCUGCAACUCGCCUGCAUGAAGUCGGAGUUGCUAGUAACCGCGCGUCAGCCAUAGUGCGGUGAAUACGUUCCCGGGCCUU